Molecule: long non-coding RNA, 2001 nt
Organism: Suricata suricatta (meerkat)
Lineage: Eukaryota; Metazoa; Chordata; Mammalia; Carnivora; Herpestidae
Exons: 3
Source: RefSeq, a predicted model, not a curated record
ACUGGGGGCCUCUGGGUGUUUUUAUGCUGGGUGCAAGGGCGGUGCAGCGGGAGCGCCCCCCAGGUGUGGGGCACUCCUGGACAUGUCUGGGUAGGACCCCCUCUUGUGGAGAAGCAGGAGGUGGGGUCUCACUAAGGUGAGGCAAGCACCUGGGGGUGCUGACUGGGCUUAGAUACAAGAUUGCAGCCCUCUUCAUGGAAGUGGGCAAGAACUUUCUGGUGGCCUAUGAACUGAGCCGCAAGGUGCAGGACCUGGAGCCGCUGAUCGAGAGCCCAUGAGUGUGGGGCAUGGGGUCUGGGCUGGGGCAUCCCUACAGAGGACAGUCCAGGCUCCUCCCUGUGCUCUGCCCGAACCAGCACCUCCUGGCACUGUCUGCACUCUCCUCUCUGCUCCUCAGGCCCGCCAGACUCUUUCCUUCCCCAGGGCAUUUGCACAUGCUAUACCAGCAAACCCGAGUCACAAGCCUCAUCUUCCGGGGCAGGUUCCUUGUCGUCAUCCAGGCCUUCCCCCAGUUCAGGGUAAAUUCCAACCCUCACCCCAUUUCUCUUCUAUAUCUGCCUUUUCAUUUUCUCCCCUGUGGUUAUCACCACCUCUAAUUGUUCAUUCCUUUGUGUACUUUUUACUUGAUUGUUGUCAAUCUCUCCUACUUGGCUUUGAACUCCAUGAGAAUAGGCAACUAAACUCUGUUAUUCCCUGUUUUGUCCCCAGUGUCUGGACAGUGGCCAGCACCUGGUAAAUGCUCAAGGAAUGGUUGUUGAAUGAGUAGGUGUCUGCUGGUAGCCAAACCCGUUCUGAAUGCAGGAAGACCAGAGUUUAAUGAAACCACUCUGGUCUCCGUCUGCACGGACCGGAUCCUGACGCUGAGGCAACAAGGGGAAGAGGGACCUGACUCAUGUGUCUCGAGGGCUGAUUAGCUGGGGGAGGCUCGUGGCCUGAGUGCGUGCACAUGACCUUCCACCGCAGUCCUGACCAUGCGGUUUGAGUCUAUGCCAGCACCUCGGUCUGGAGCCUGGUCAGGGGUGGCAAGUAGGUUUCCAGUCCAGCUGGUGCUAGUGGCCUCCCAAAGGAAAGAUUCUGGAGCCCUGGAGCCGUGAUUGGGCGUCACGGGAAAGAAUGUGCGGCUUGAUUAGCCUUGUCUGUUUCGGGCAAGGGCAGGGAGCGAGAGGCGCACAUGCUGUCUCUGACGAGGGUGAUCACUCCACAUCCGUGCUUGGGAAAUGGCCCUUUCCUCCCCUUUCAGGCUGUGCCAGCCCAGAGCUGCUGGCCAGAACUGUGGGAUGGUCAAGGCUCUGGACUUAGCAUUGCCAGCUCCCCUUUGGAAUCGGACUCCUCAGCCACUUGGUCUUCAAGGUGCCUUCCAAUUCAUCUGCUAACUUCCCAAGUGUUUGCUGAGAACUUCUGAAACGGAUGGAUUUCCAUGGGCCUUCCAUAAUAUCGGGAACGACUUUCUAAUGGAGAAAUUAGAGGUACCUAUGCCAGGCGGUAGGGGAGAGCCAUUCCUUCAUUUACACAAUCGCUCAUUCAUCACAGAGGGAGGAGGAGAGAGACAGAGAGACGAAGACAAGUAUCACUAUGAGAAUCAACAGUAUAUGAAGGGGUCUGUUUUACCACAUCUUCACACUCACCAGGCGAAACCAGAUCCAGGGCCUCCAGGAGAAUGUGUGGAAGCUGCCGAAGCUGCCUAUCCUGUCCCAGCUUGCUACCAAGCACUUGUGGGUCCGCACUGCCUUGUUUGAGAAGGUCCUGGACAAAAUUGUGCUUACUUGGUGGAAAACAGCAGCUCAGAUUAACCUGGUGUAAAGGUUUUCUACCAUGAAUACUCCUGGCCAGCAUUUAUCCAUCCAUCCAUUCAUUCAUCCAGUAAAUACUGGGUGAGCACCUACCAUGUGCCAGGCGCUAACCAAGAUGCUGGAGUUACAUGGGUCUUACUUGUCAUGCUAAAAGCUUGGAUGUUAUGCUAAGUGCAUGGGGGAGCCCGCAAAGAAUGUAUAAUCUGAGACU